Molecule: non-coding RNA, 73 nt
Organism: Parelaphostrongylus tenuis
Lineage: Eukaryota; Metazoa; Nematoda; Chromadorea; Rhabditida; Metastrongylidae
Source: the annotation of a GenBank genome assembly
GCCUCGGCAGCGCAGUUGGUUAGCACGAACCCCUGUAAAGAGUGAAAUGAGAGUUCGAUUCUCGUUUGAGGCA